UUACCGUCCUUCUUCGCAACCGGAGAAGAUCGGCCUUUAACAACAGAUAAAACCCUAGGUAUUAACCCUAGGAGUAACCGUCAAAACUUUACCGCAAAUACCGUCAAUGAUGUCGCAACAGUACCAACAAUAACCAAAACCUCAGCAAAAUGAGUAUCAGACCACCGGAUGGCAAUCAAACAACCGAUUUGACCACCAGAAAACCCUAGAGGUUGAAAACUCA
RNAcentral lists this long non-coding RNA (223 nucleotides) under Nicotiana benthamiana. Its description in RNAcentral is "long non-coding RNA (NBEN_LNC000691)". The record is from RNAcentral. Lineage: Eukaryota; Viridiplantae; Streptophyta; Magnoliopsida; Solanales; Solanaceae.